GCCUGGAUGGCUCAGUUGGUUAAGCACCCGACUUCGGCUCAGGUCAUGAUCUCAUGGUUUGUGGGUUCAAGCCCCGCGUCAGGCU
Molecule: transfer RNA, 85 nt
Filed under: Felis catus (domestic cat)
Lineage: Eukaryota; Metazoa; Chordata; Mammalia; Carnivora; Felidae
Also listed under: 3 other names
Rfam family: tRNA
About the family: Transfer RNA (tRNA) molecules are approximately 80 nucleotides in length.
Source: Rfam by way of RNAcentral